This 65-nucleotide transfer RNA is filed under the name Stenotoxodera porioni. RNAcentral describes it as "tRNA-Gly". Lineage: Eukaryota; Metazoa; Arthropoda; Insecta; Mantodea; Toxoderidae. The record is from RNAcentral.
AUUUAUUUAAUAUAUUAAGUAUAUUUGAUUUCCAAUCAAAAAGUCUAAGGCUUUUAGAAUAAAUA